Long non-coding RNA from Xenia sp. Carnegie-2017, 252 nucleotides. RefSeq lists it as uncharacterized. The record is from RefSeq and is a predicted model, not a curated record. The transcript has 4 exons. NCBI's taxonomy places the organism in Eukaryota, Metazoa, Cnidaria, Anthozoa, Malacalcyonacea, Xeniidae.
UUUUGUCUUUUAGUUGUUUCAGUUUCUGGUUGAAGCGGUUGGUGGUCGUUUUGCUGGGGUCUGUGUGGAGAAGUUCGUAGGUGGUGGUGUCUUGUAGGAGGGUUUUGGCUUUGUCGAUGUAUUCUGAUCUGUCCAUGAUAACUGUUUUGCGUCCUUUGUCAGCUCGUAAUAUGAUUAUUUGGUCGUCGUUUUGUAAGUUUUUAAUUGCUCGUAGUUCUUCGUACCAUCUAUUCUGCGUUUUUACCACUGUUU